Molecule: non-coding RNA, 509 nt
Filed under: Ixodes scapularis (black-legged tick)
Lineage: Eukaryota; Metazoa; Arthropoda; Arachnida; Ixodida; Ixodidae
Description: Bacterial small subunit ribosomal RNA
Rfam family: Bacterial small subunit ribosomal RNA
Source: Rfam by way of RNAcentral
UUUCCCCUUUCCAUGUAAUGCGGAUGCAAGUUCAUCUACUUCUUUUGACGUCAGAACGCCGAUCUCUGAUUGGCUCUGAUGGAAAGAUAGUGGGAUUAGAGCGGCCGAUAUCUGAUUAGGUAGUUGGUGGGGUAAAGGCCUACCAAGCCGACGAUCAGUAGCUGGUCUGAGAGGACGAUCAGCCACACUGGAACUGAGACACGGUCCAGACUCCUACGGGAGGCAGCAGUGGGGAAUUUUGGACAAUGGGGGAAACCCUGAUCCAGCCAUUCCGCGUGAGUGAAGAAGGCCUUCGGGUUGUAAAGCUCUUUCGCAAGAGAAGAAAUCUUACUAUCUAAUAAAUAGUGAGGAUGACGGUAUCUUGACAAGAAGCACCGGCUAACUAUGUGCCAGCAGCCGCGGUAAUACAUAGGGUGCGAGCGUUAAUCGGAAUUACUGGGCGUAAAGGGUGCGCAGGCGGUCUUAUAAGUCAGAUGUGAAAUCCCCGAGCUCAACUUGGGAACUGCGUU